UUAACCGGAUUAGAUACCCGGGUAGUCCACGCCCUAAACGAUGUCAACUAGCCGUUGGGUUCAUUUAAGGACUUAGUGGCGCAGCUAACGCGAUAAGUUGACCGCCUGGGGAGUACGGUCGCAAGAUUAAAACUCAAAGGAAUUGACGGGGGCCCGCACAAGCGGUGGAGCAUGUGGUUUAAUUCGAUGCAACGCGAAGAACCUUACCAGGCCUUGACAUGCAGAGAACUUUCCAGAGAUGGAUUGGUGCCUUCGGGAACUCUGACACAGGUGCUGCAUGGCUGUCGACAGCUCGUGUCGUGAGAUGUUGGGUUAAGUCCCGUAACGAGCGCAACCCUUGUCCUUAGUUGCCAGCACAUAAUGGUGGGAACUCUAAGGAGACUGCCGGUGACAAACCGGAGGAAGGUGGGGAUGACG
Molecule: ribosomal RNA, 417 nt
Filed under: uncultured bacterium
Lineage: Bacteria
Description: bacterial SSU rRNA
Rfam family: Bacterial small subunit ribosomal RNA
Source: RNAcentral